This 376-nucleotide ribosomal RNA is filed under the name uncultured bacterium. Its description in RNAcentral is "bacterial SSU rRNA". It matches the Rfam family "Bacterial small subunit ribosomal RNA", at positions 362 to 758 of the family's 1533-position model. The record is from RNAcentral.
UAUUGGACAAUGGGCGAAAGCCUGAUCCAGCAAUGCCGCGUGAGUGAUGAAGGCCUUAGGGUUGUAAAGCUCUUUUACCCGGGAUGAUAAUGACAGUACCGGGAGAAUAAGCUCCGGCUAACUCCGUGCCAGCAGCCGCGGUAAUACGGAGGGAGCUAGCGUUAUUCGGAAUUACUGGGCGUAAAGCGCACGUAGGCGGCUUUGUAAGUAAGAGGUGAAAGCCUGGUGCUCAACACCAGAACUGCCUUUUAGACUGCAUCGCUUGAAUCCAGGAGAGGUGAGUGGAAUUCCGAGUGUAGAGGUGAAAUUCGUAGAUAUUCGGAAGAACACCAGUGGCGAAGGCGGCUCACUGACUGGUAUGACGCUGAGGGCGAAG